AAGGCUUGACAUGCAUUUCUAAGCGCGUGAAAGCGCGUGACCCUUCGGGGGACUUGCACAGGUGCUGCAUGGCCGUCGUCAGCUCGUGUCGUGAGAUGUUGGGUUAAGUCCCGCAACGAGCGCAACCCCUGUGGACAGUUGCCAGCGGGUAAUGCCGGGGACUCUGUUCAGACUGCCCAGAUCAACUGGGAGGAAGGUGGGGACGACGUCGAGGUCAGUAUGGCCCUUACGCCGUUGGG
This 239-nucleotide ribosomal RNA is filed under the name uncultured bacterium. RNAcentral describes it as "partial 16S ribosomal RNA". It matches the Rfam family "Bacterial small subunit ribosomal RNA", at positions 978 to 1208 of the family's 1533-position model. The record is from RNAcentral.